CUAGCGCCACCGGAGAGAUUAGGAACUAUUAUUUAAAGCUGAAAGCGGCUGACAUUUCAAAAAUGACAAUCGAAUGUCAGUCUUACUCAUCGAAAAUAGAACACAUGUUUGAAGUGCCGUAUGUGGAAAAUAUAAACCUUUAGCCUGGUAAAGGGUUAAGUAGAGAAGAAAAUGUUUAUUAAAUCGGUGUUAGUUUAGAUGAAAGUGAUUUAUGUAGGUACUAGGACACGUUAGUAGAAGCAAAAUUAUUAUUGUACGUAAUGAGUAGCGGACACGAGAUAACACCUUGGCCCCUGUGAUUCAUUUAGUUAAAACUAGGAUUUGAUAGUCAUUAAAUAAAAUUUGUCAUAGA
Cydia strobilella is the source of this 352-nucleotide long non-coding RNA. RefSeq lists it as uncharacterized. The transcript is spliced from 2 exons. The record is from RefSeq and is a predicted model, not a curated record. NCBI's taxonomy places the organism in Eukaryota, Metazoa, Arthropoda, Insecta, Lepidoptera, Tortricidae.